RNAcentral lists this ribosomal RNA (1616 nucleotides) under Xenoperdix udzungwensis. RNAcentral's name for it is "16S ribosomal RNA". It matches the Rfam family "Bacterial large subunit ribosomal RNA". The record is from RNAcentral. Lineage: Eukaryota; Metazoa; Chordata; Aves; Galliformes; Phasianidae.
UCUGCCCUUCCUCUAGCCCAAUCACCACAACAAUUAUAUAUCAACCAAAUCCAUUACCUCACUUAAACCAAAACAUUCUAACUCUACCCUAGUAUAGGCGAUAGAAAAGGAUCUCUGGCGCAAUAGAGCCAUUGUACCGUAAGGGAAAGAUGAAAUAACAAUGAAACACCACAAGCAAAAAACAGUAAAGACUAACCCUUGUACCUCUUGCAUCAUGAUUUAGCAAGAACAAUCAAGCAAAGCGAACUAAAGUUUGUCCUCCCGAAACCCAAGCGAGCUACUUGCGAGCAGCUAAAACUGAGCGAACCCGUCUCUGUUGCAAAAGAGUGGGAUGACUUGCCAGUAGUGGUGAAAAGCCAAUCGAGCUGGGUGAUAGCUGGUUACCUGCUAAACGAAUCUUAGUUCCACCUUAACCCGCCCCAAAGACACCAUGCCUAACCUUUAUACGUUGGGGUUAAGAGCAAUUCGAUGGAGGUACAGCUCCCUCGAAAAAGAAUACAACCUCCCCUAGCGGAUAACAUUUUUUCCUUUCCCCCACUGUGGGCCUUCAAGCAGCCAUCAACAAAAGAGUGCGUCAAAGCUCCUCAUACUAAAAAUUCAAAAACCCAUUAGACUCCCUUCUCCAAAACAGGUUAACCUAUGACCAUAGAAGAAUUAAUGCUAAAAUGAGUAACUUGGGAACCCCCCCUCCCCUUAGCGCUAACUUACAUUUACACAUUAUUAACAAACCCAAACUUUUAUACCCACACUAAAACAAGAACCCGUAUAACUUAACUUGUUAAACCAACACUGGAGCGCUCACAGGAUGAUUAAAAUCUGCAGAAGGAACUCGGCAAACCAAAGACCCGACUGUUUCCCAAAAACAUAGCCUUCAGCAAACCAACAAGUAUUGAAGGUGAUGCCUGCCCAGUGACCCAUAACGUUCAACGGCCGCGGUAUCCUAACCGUGCGAAGGUAGCGCAAUCAAUUGUCUCAUAAAUCGAGACCUGUAUGAAUGGCUAAACGAGGUCUUAACUGUCUCCUACAGAUAAUCAGUGAAAUUAGUAUUCUUGUGCAAAAACAAGAAUGUGACCAUAAGACGAGAAGACCCUGUGGAACUUUAAAAUCACGACCACCCUAAGACCAACACCCACCCAAUGGGAUUACUCAAAUAGCCCCUGGUCGACAUUUUUCGGUUGGGGCGACCUUGGAGAAAAAUAAAUCCUCCAAACCUAAAGACCACAUCUCUUCACCAAGACCAACCCCUCAAAGUACCAACAGCAACUAGACCCAAUAUAAUUGAUCAAUGGACCAAGCUACCCCAGGGAUAACAGCGCAAUCUCCUCCAAGAGCCCAUAUCGACAAGGAGGUUUACGACCUCGAUGUUGGAUCAGGACAACCUAAUGGUGCAGCCGCUAUUAAGGGUUCGUUUGUUCAACGAUUAACAGUCCUACGUGAUCUGAGUUCAGACCGGAGCAAUCCAGGUCGGUUUCUAUCUAUGCAUAUACUCCUCCCAGUACGAAAGGACCAGAGAAGUGGGGUCAAUACAACAAGCACACCCCAACCUUAUAAGCAAUGAACUCAACUCAAUUGCCAAAAACACCCCCCCCCACACUCAACUCCUAAAAAAGGACCCA